GGACCACACUUGGGGAAUCAUUGGUCUGAGAAGCACUUUGAAACCACUGUAAUCAAUGACCAACUCCCCCAUGAUGUUCAGAGUCCAGACAUGCACACAGGUGACAUUGGAGGAACAACCGGAGCACCUUAGAACCAUCUGCCACAUGAGAGUGAGUUGGUAGCCCACUACGUGAAUCUGUCUCCACAUUGGGAAGAAGGAAAGAACAUUGGAUCUGGAGCAUGAAGACCUGGGUCUUGAAGCUGCGAUUUACAUCCUCUUGGGGCAUUUCUGAACCUCUCCAAGCCUCAGUUUCAAUGUGUGAACUUCAUGAUUCACAUGAAGUUAGUCCUGUUUUCUGACCUACCAGAGCUCCUCCAGCUCCGACUACUUGGGACGGUUGUUAAGACUGAAUUCAUAUGUAUAAAGCAGUUAAAAGAAUUCCUGCCUAACGGUAAGAGCUCUAAAGAUGUUUGAUUUUCUGAUUUGAUGUUAUCAUCAGUGAAGGAAAACAUCUAAUUUGAAAAUUGGAGAAUGAGACAAUGAGACAGAAAAAAAGUAACUGGGGAGAAGACACAGGAAGAUAAAAACCAUACCAAAAACUAUCGUUAAUAUAACCUCAGAGAUAAGAGGAGAUAGAACAUCCUUGAAAUAAGAGCUGGACACUAUCAAAAUGAAGACAAAAAAAAAAUCAGAAAACAAGAGCAUGUUUCUGGAAAUGUAAAAUAUCAGUCUGGGAGUUCCCGUCAUGGCUCAGCAGAAACAAAUCUGACUAGCAUCCAUAAGGACGCAGGUUCAAUCUCUGCCCUCGCUCAGUGGGUUAAGGACCAGGCAUUUUGGUGCGUUGUAGGUCGCAGAUGCAGCUCGGAUCCUGAGUUGCANGACUAGCAUCCAUAAGGACGCAGGUUCAAUCUCUGCCCUCACUCAGUGGGUUAAGGACCAGGCAUUUUGGUGAGUUGUAGGUCGCAGAUGCAGCUCGGAUCCUGAGUUGCUGCGGCUGUGGUGUAGGCCGGCAGCUGUAGCUCGGAUUUGACCCCUAGCCUGGGAACCUUCAUGUGCCAUGGUGUGGCAAAAAAAAAAAAAAAGAAUAAAAAAUUUCAGUCUGAAGCA
Molecule: long non-coding RNA, 1089 nt
Filed under: Sus scrofa (pig)
Lineage: Eukaryota; Metazoa; Chordata; Mammalia; Artiodactyla; Suidae
Description: lncRNA (ENSSSCG00040067796.1)
Source: RNAcentral